This 301-nucleotide ribosomal RNA is filed under the name uncultured bacterium. RNAcentral describes it as "partial 16S ribosomal RNA". It matches the Rfam family "Bacterial small subunit ribosomal RNA", at positions 509 to 807 of the family's 1533-position model. The record is from RNAcentral.
CAGCCGCCGCGGUAAUACGUAGGUGGCAAGCGUUGUCCGGAAUUAUUGGGCGUAAAGCGUGCGCAGGCGGUUAUAUAAGUCAGAUGUGAAAUCCCCGGGCUCAACCUGGGAACUGCAUUUGAGACUGUAUGGCUAGAGUGUGUCAGAGGGGGGUAGAAUUCCACGUGUAGCAGUGAAAUGCGUAGAUAUGUGGAGGAAUACCGAUGGCGAAGGCAGCCCCCUGGGAUAACACUGACGCUCAUGCACGAGAGCGUGGGGAGCAAACAGGAUUAGAUACCCCGGUAGUCCCUGUCUCUUAUAC